AAAGGUAACUUUGAAUGCUGAGUCUCCUGGUGUUAAGGGAGCAAUUGUAGUAAUCCAGUCUUCCAAAUAUGCAGGCUCUCCUACUUUCCCCUGCAGACCAUUCUCUGCAGUCUCACUGCAGUUAACAGCACUAAUGAGUUGCAGAGAGACUCCUUGGCCAAGCAACUCAUGAACACGAUCAAGAACAGAAGCAUGGAAGUCAUUGAAGUCCAAAACAUUCUUU
This 223-nucleotide unclassified non-coding RNA is filed under the name Hevea brasiliensis (rubber tree). Lineage: Eukaryota; Viridiplantae; Streptophyta; Magnoliopsida; Malpighiales; Euphorbiaceae. The record is from RNAcentral.